RNAcentral lists this ribosomal RNA (275 nucleotides) under uncultured bacterium. Its description in RNAcentral is "partial 16S ribosomal RNA". It matches the Rfam family "Bacterial small subunit ribosomal RNA", at positions 338 to 605 of the family's 1533-position model. The record is from RNAcentral.
CCUACGGGGGGCUGCAGUGGGGAAUUUUGGACAAUGGGCGCAAGCCUGAUCCAGCAAUGCCGCGUGAGUGAAGAAGGCCUUCGGGUUGUAAAGCUCUUUCAGUUGAGAAGAAAAAAUUCUGGCUAAUAUCUGGAAUUCAUGACGGUAUCAACAGAAGAAGCACCGGCUAACUACGUGCCAGCAGCCGCGGUAAUACGUAGGGUGCGAGCGUUAAUCGGAAUUACUGGGCGUAAAGGGUGCGCAGGUGGUUUUGUAAGUCAGAUGUGAAAUCCCCG